UCUUGUGGCUUAGUGGUUAGAACGUGCGCCUUGAAUGCGAGAGGUCUAGGGUUCCAACCCCGGUCAAGUCAU
Molecule: non-coding RNA, 72 nt
Organism: Potamilus streckersoni
Lineage: Eukaryota; Metazoa; Mollusca; Bivalvia; Unionida; Unionidae
Source: the annotation of a GenBank genome assembly